RNAcentral lists this ribosomal RNA (433 nucleotides) under uncultured bacterium. RNAcentral describes it as "partial 16S ribosomal RNA". It matches the Rfam family "Bacterial small subunit ribosomal RNA", at positions 29 to 507 of the family's 1533-position model. The record is from RNAcentral.
AACGAACGCUGGCGGCAUGCCUAACACAUGCCAGUCGAACGAGACCUUCGGGGCUAGUGGCGCACGGGUGCGUAACGCGUGGGAACCUGCCCUUAGGUUCGGAAUAACUCCCCGAAAGGGGUGCUAAUACCGGAUAAUGUCUUCGAACCAAAGAUUUAUCGCCUUUGGAUGGGCCCGCGUUGGAUUAGCUAGUUGGUAGGGUAAAAGCCUACCAAGGCGACGAUCCAUAGCUGGUCUGAGAGGAUGAUCAGCCACACUGGGACUGAGACACGGCCCAGACUCCUACGGGAGGCAGCAGUGGGGAAUAUUGGACAAUGGGCGAAAGCCUGAUCCAGCAAUGCCGCGUGAGUGAUGAAGGCCUUAGGGUUGUAAAGCUCUUUUACCCGGGAUGAUAAUGACAGUACCGGGAGAAUAAGCUCCGGCUAACUCCGUG